RNAcentral lists this non-coding RNA (120 nucleotides) under Pseudo-nitzschia pungens. Lineage: Eukaryota; Bacillariophyta; Bacillariophyceae; Bacillariales; Bacillariaceae. The record is from RNAcentral.
GAAAGAACAAGAUAAACGAAGCUCGCGAGGUCUAUGAAGAGGGCAUUGAUUCCAAUCCCAUGCACGCUCCGCUGUACCACUCGCUCGCCGAACUCGAGGCCCGAAUCUGCAACCUCGAGG